CACGAAGGGGGCUAGCGUUGCUCGGAAUCACUGGGCGUAAAGCGCACGUAGGCGGCUUUCUAAGUCAGGGGUGAAAUCCUGGAGCUCAACUCCAGAACUGCCUUUGAUACUGGGAAGCUCGAGUCCGGAAGAGGUGAGUGGAACUCCGAGUGUAGAGGUGAAAUUCGUAGAUAUUCGGAAGAACACCAGUGGCGAAGGCGGCUCACUGGUCCGGUACUGACGCUGAGGUGCGAAAGCGUGGGGAGCAAACAGG
RNAcentral lists this ribosomal RNA (253 nucleotides) under uncultured bacterium. RNAcentral describes it as "partial 16S ribosomal RNA". It matches the Rfam family "Bacterial small subunit ribosomal RNA", at positions 524 to 776 of the family's 1533-position model. The record is from RNAcentral.